UGAAAGAAAAAUAAGAAGAUUUGUGAAACCCUAAAACUGGGUUUGACAGCAAUAGCAGCUGAAGCUUCUUGGAAUUGCAAGGUUAUAGCAACAGCCAUCAGUACAGACAUGCCUCAGUAUUUACAUGGGAUCAAGAUAUCAGCUGAAGUAUCGUGUUUUUAAAUUCCUUUGAGAGCCUAUCUUAGUCCCUGGGGUUCAAGCAGCUGUGGCAGUGAAGGAUCAGAGGGAAUGUAUGAAUCACUCAAGAAGAGGUGAUCUCCUCGGUGUGAAAAACUGUCACUCAGGCCUUCACCUAGAAAAAAAGGUGAUUUCUCUCUCCAGCUCCAGUGCCCAGCUCUAAAACAAACCCAAGUCUUGGAACCUUCCAAGGCUCAACAGAGAGUUGCUGAGCCAGAAGAAACAAUGCUGGGAAGCUCUAGCACUCCUCCUAGCCAGAAGUAUCCAGUCUCUGCUUGAAGGAACCAGCUGGCUCUCACAACAUAUAUUACAUGUGGCUCUUCUGUCUCUUUCAUGUCUUUGCUUGUGUUACAAAAGUAUAGAGGUGGGAGCUAUAUGUUAAAGCAGGCCAGAUCAUAAAUGUGAAAGUAUAGCCAUAGUUUUACUCCACAGUUGAAUAGUCUGGGAAAGUAAACAGAAGGAGCUGCAAGUAGAACAAAAGUAAGUUCAGCCUUCCAUCCAGUAGAAAAAAACCUGCUGGUGUGUUGGAUAUUGUACAGAACACCUCAGAAUUUCCCCCCUGCACAUCACAGGAUCAAAUAUACCUCACAGCUGAGUUGCAACUCUAGCACCUGCUUGCAAGCUGAGAAUCAAAUGGUCAUAUACCAGGAAGAAGGAUACCUUGCUGAGAACUUCCUCAGAUUCACCCAGUGCUUCAGACAAAAAAAAAAAAAAAAAAAGAAGA
Long non-coding RNA from Empidonax traillii (willow flycatcher), 901 nucleotides. RefSeq lists it as uncharacterized. The record is from RefSeq and is a predicted model, not a curated record. NCBI's taxonomy places the organism in Eukaryota, Metazoa, Chordata, Aves, Passeriformes, Tyrannidae. The transcript has 2 exons.